Molecule: ribosomal RNA, 526 nt
Filed under: uncultured bacterium
Lineage: Bacteria
Description: bacterial SSU rRNA
Rfam family: Bacterial small subunit ribosomal RNA
Source: RNAcentral
AAUAGAUACCCGGGUAGUCCACGCCGUAAACGAUGUGUGCUAGACGUCGGAUGUUCCGCAUUCGGUGUCGCCGCUAACGCAUUAAGCACACCGCCUGGGGGAGUACAGCCGCAAGGUUAAAACUCAAAGGAAUUGACGGGGGGCCCGCACAAGCGGUGGAGCAUGUGGUUUAAUUCGACGCAACGCGCAGAACCUUACCAGCCCUUGACAUCCCGGUCGCGGGGAGCGGAGACGCUCUUCUUCAGUUCGGCUGGACCGGAGACAGGUGCUGCAUGGCUGUCGUCAGCUCGUGUCGUGAGAUGUUGGGUUAAGUCCCGCAACGAGCGCAACCCUCAUCCUUAGUUGCCAUCAUUGAGUUGGGCACUCUAAGGAAACUGCCGGUGACAAGCCGGAGGAAGGCGGGGAUGACGUCAAAUCCUCAUGGCCCUUAUGGGCUGGGCUACACACGUGCUACAAUGGCGGUGACAAUGGGCUGCGAGCCUGCAAAGGCAAGCAAAUCCCAAAAAGCCGUCUCAGUUCGGAUUCG